GUCUGCAACUCGACUCCAUGAAGGUGGAAUCGCUAGUAAUCGCGCAUCAGCCAUGGCGCGGUGAAUACGUUCCCGGACCUUGUACACACCGCCCGUCAAGCCAUGGAAGCCGAGGGUGCCUGAAGAUGGUGACUUUACAGAGAGCUAUCUAAGGUAAAAUUGGUAACUAGGGCUAAGUCGAAACAAGGUAGCCGUACCG
This 199-nucleotide ribosomal RNA is filed under the name Leptocylindrus danicus. RNAcentral's name for it is "partial Bacterial small subunit ribosomal RNA". It matches the Rfam family "Bacterial small subunit ribosomal RNA", at positions 1303 to 1507 of the family's 1533-position model. Lineage: Eukaryota; Bacillariophyta; Leptocylindrophyceae; Leptocylindrales; Leptocylindraceae. The record is from RNAcentral.